Molecule: ribosomal RNA, 301 nt
Filed under: uncultured bacterium
Lineage: Bacteria
Description: partial 16S ribosomal RNA
Rfam family: Bacterial small subunit ribosomal RNA
Source: RNAcentral
CAGCCGCCACGGUAAUACGAAGGGUGCAAGCGUUAAUCGGAAUUACUGGGCGUAAAGCGUGCGUAGGCGGUGAGUUAAGUCUGCUGUGAAAUCCCCGGGCUCAACCUGGGAAUGGCAGUGGAUACUGGCUCGCUAGAGUGUGUCAGAGGAUGGUGGAAUUCCCGGUGUAGCGGUGAAAUGCGUAGAGAUCGGGAGGAACAUCAGUGGCGAAGGCGGCCAUCUGGGACAACGCUGACGCUGAGGCACGAAAGCGUGGGGAGCAAACAGGAUUAGAUACCCGCGUAGUCCCUGUCUCUUAUAC